Molecule: long non-coding RNA, 1850 nt
Organism: Cyclopterus lumpus (lumpfish)
Lineage: Eukaryota; Metazoa; Chordata; Actinopteri; Perciformes; Cyclopteridae
Exons: 3
Source: RefSeq, a predicted model, not a curated record
GACUACCUAUUAAUAUCUGGUGUGAAAACAAUGCCAGUGAUGGAUGAAGAUGAAGAGCUGGAGAGAGAUGCUGAGUGUCUCUCCUUCAACAUGUGCAGAGCUCUGUUUAUGCAUCAUCCUCGUCAUCUGCCAGACAACUGGACCAUGAAUUCUUAUCCCACAGGAAGCAUGACUUGUCUCAUGUUGACCAUGUUCUGGUCAUGUUUGUCUUUUGGUAUUCUGAUGAGAAAAUAUGAUCCUCAUCAGAGACACAUUCCAGGAGGAGGGUUAUUACUUCCACCAGGACCAGUGGGUCACUGGAACACACGAUUCCCCAGAGCCGUUUCAAGUUUAGGGGAUGACUGGGGUGGCACGGUGGACUUGAAGCAGCCUGGUGGACUUGAAGCAGACAGGCGUUCACCUCCCAGCCGUCUCUGAUCCUGCAUUAAUGGCCCAGCUCAAUGCAGUCUCCAAACAAGUGUGUCCAGAUUUUCAUUUCUCUAGUAGACGCUGGAGAGAAGUUUGGCCUGCAGUACGUUGCGCGGUUGCCGCCAAGUUGGACUGGGACCAGCACAGGACCAAGACUCUGCCCCACCUCCUCCAAAGCAGCACAUCCACUGCCCAGUCAUCCUCAAUGGCACCACUCAAGCUGUUUCAGUUUCCUCCAUGCCCUCCUGUGGAUUGAAUCCCAGUACGACUCCCGGGUCUCAGACAGAUCCAGCAAAAGAAGUGUGGAGCCCGAGGUCCAACACAGCAGCGAGCCGAUCACGACGUGUGUCCCGAGGAUCGACGUCGGAGGCAGGCAGAACGAAGCAGGUACUCUGCGCACAAGGAGAGAGAAAGUUAGCGUAACGAGCCAGUGGAGAAUCUCAUGGCGCGGCAGUGGAGACUACCGGGGAAGAAGACGUAACAGACUGACAACCCAGGCCUGCAGGACCAGGGUUGAUAUGGAGCUGGUGACGAGCCAACAGGCCACAGCUGUGCACCGCUCGGGGGUGUGGCCAGCUUCUUGAGGUACACACCCACACAACAAGCACAUGGCAAAAACAACACAACCAGGGCAUGACAGACACAAGAGGUAAGGAGACUUGGGAGAACAGAGGUAAACACACAAUGGGUCAGACAGAGAUCCUGACAAGUAAUGGACGAGACUUCAGCAUUAGUUGGUAGGAACUGAAUUUCAAUCGCAUUUAUUUUUAUUAGCAGGGUAAUGGAUAUGUUGCAGUUUUCUUUUUUACAAGAUGUGACAAUAUUUAAUGUGUAAAUGAAUAAACUGAUGCAUAAACAUACCAGUUAGCCAUGAGUCAGUAUCUGAAAGUGGAAAGCGUGUUUUGACCCGGACAAGUGUGUGAAAUCAGGCUUUUCCUUCCUGUAGGUCAGAAUAACUUAUUGUACUCUUUGUCUUUUGUUUUCAUAGAAACACGUCGCCCGUCUCUGCCCCUGCUGUCCUCACCGACUGGACCUGUGAAGACCGGAGGGAGAGUGUUUGUGUUGGACCACAAGAGGUGGCCGGCCCCAUGAAGGCAGCUGACAACCUGCUCAAUGAACACCGUGGGAUGAAGGCCGUGCUCAAGCUUGUUUCUCAUUUUUAUUAUAUUAAUUAUUAUAUUGGUUUUAGAUAUUUGUGUUUUUGUGACCUUGCACUAUAAGCUCUGUGUUCAAUAUUUACUGUCUCUGUUGUGGUUAAUACAUAUAUUUCAUGGACUAAUAUCUACAUGUCUCAUUAAUAUGUGAAUCAUUAUAGUGAACAGUAAAGACAUAUUUCAUUUAAUUAGUUGCUAGACUCGCAGGUUUUUGACCGUAUGAGAGCAGACAGUGUCACAACGAAUGUUUUGAUUUUGAUUUUUGGGACAGACAAAUGGGUUUUGUAA